AACCUUAUUGUGUAGCGGUUAUCACAUGGGAUUCUGAUGAGUAUCAAUUCCCCUCCUUUCCCAUGACCCAGGUUCGAUUCCUGGCAGGACUU
Dendrothele bispora CBS 962.96 is the source of this 92-nucleotide non-coding RNA. The record is from the annotation of a GenBank genome assembly. NCBI's taxonomy places the organism in Eukaryota, Fungi, Basidiomycota, Agaricomycetes, Agaricales.